CUGGGAGUAUUAUUGCUGUGGAGCUCUGUUAUAUGCUCAGACACGUUACUGGGAGUAUUAUUGCUGUGGGGCUCUGUUAUACACUCUGACACGUUACUGGGAGUAUUAUUGCUACGGAGGUCUGUUAUACACUCAGACACAUUACUGGGAGUAUUAAUACUGUGGAGCUCUGUUAUACACUCAGACACAUUACUCUGAGUAUUAUUGCUGUGGAGAUCUGUUAUACGCUCAGACACAUUACUGGGAGUAUUAAUACUGUGGAGCUCUGUUAUACACUCAGACACAUUACUGGGAGUAUUAUUGCUGUGGGGCUCUGUUAUACACUCUGACACGUUACUGGGAGUAUUAUUGCUACGGAGCUCUGUUAUACACUCAGACACAUUACUGGGAGUAUUAUUGCUGUGGAGCUCUGUUAUACACUGAGACACAUUACUGGGAGUAUUAUUGCUGUGGAGCUCUGUAAUACACUCAGACACAUUACUGGGAGUAUUAUCGCUGUGGAGCUCUGUUAUAC
Molecule: non-coding RNA, 514 nt
Organism: Pelobates cultripes (western spadefoot toad)
Lineage: Eukaryota; Metazoa; Chordata; Amphibia; Anura; Pelobatidae
Source: the annotation of a GenBank genome assembly